GCCCAGCCGUAAACUUUAAAUUACACCUACAUCGCCUGAGAACUACGAGCGAAGCUUAAAACUCAAAGGACUUGACGGUACCCCAUAUCCCCCUAGAGGAGCCUGUCCUAUAAUCGAUAACCCCCGUUGGACCUCACCAUUUUUAGCUAAUCAGCCUGUAUACCUCCGUCGUCAGCUUACCACGUGAGCGAAAUUUAGUGAGCUUAAUGCCUUUACACCAACACGUCAGGUCAAGGUGCAGCAAAUGAAAUGGAAAGAGAUGGGCUACACUUUCUAAUGUAGAACACACGAAAGACUUUAUGAAACCUAGUCUGAAGGCGGAUUUAGCAGUAAAGAGAAAUCAGAAUAUUCUCUUUAACCCGGCACUGGGGUGUGUACACACCGCCCGUCACCCUCUUCAUAAGCCAGAUAAAGUACUUAACUAAUUAACGCACAAUAGAAGAGGCAAGUCGUAACAUGGUAAGUAUACCGGAAGGUGUGCUUGGCAAA
RNAcentral lists this ribosomal RNA (489 nucleotides) under Alsodes sp. n. CC-2014. RNAcentral describes it as "partial 12S ribosomal RNA". It matches the Rfam family "Bacterial small subunit ribosomal RNA", at positions 794 to 1521 of the family's 1533-position model. Lineage: Eukaryota; Metazoa; Chordata; Amphibia; Anura; Alsodidae. The record is from RNAcentral.